UAUGCUACGUUGGUCUCACCGAGGACCAUAAGGAAUCUGCAGCAAUGUUUGCAUGUGGUCGGUGCACAAUUAAUUUCUCAACUGAGAGGAUCUUGCUCUGUGGUUCGCAGACUGUGGCAACAAAUAAAUCAGAACAGAGCUCCUUGUCAGACAGCGAACCUGAUGACGAAUACUGUCAGAAUGAAACUUUGGAAUUGCUGAAGGUAAACAAUGAAGCAAGUAAUUUCCUUACC
This is a long non-coding RNA of Rhodamnia argentea, 233 nucleotides long. RefSeq lists it as uncharacterized. Lineage: Eukaryota; Viridiplantae; Streptophyta; Magnoliopsida; Myrtales; Myrtaceae. The record is from RefSeq and is a predicted model, not a curated record. The transcript is spliced from 3 exons.